Molecule: ribosomal RNA, 253 nt
Filed under: uncultured bacterium
Lineage: Bacteria
Description: partial 16S ribosomal RNA
Rfam family: Bacterial small subunit ribosomal RNA
Source: RNAcentral
UACGUAGGGUGCGAGCGUUAAUCGGAAUUAUUGGGCGUAAAGCGCGCGCAGGCGGCCUCUUAAGUCUGAUGUGAAAGCCCACGGCUCAACCGUGGAGGGUCAUUGGAAACUGGGGGGCUUGAGUGCAGAAGAGGAGAGCGGAAUUCCACGUGUAGCGGUGAAAUGCGUAGAGAUGUGGAGGAACACCAGUGGCGAAGGCGGCUCUCUGGUCUGUAACUGACGCUGAGGCGCGAAAGCGUGGGGAGCGAACAGG